AGAGACGCUGGCGGCGUGCCUAACACAUGCAAGUCGAGCGGGGUUGAAGCGAGGGGUAACUCGAGUUUCUACCUAGCGGCGGACGGGUGAGUAACGCGUGGGCAACCUGCCUCAAGGACUGGGAUAACAGCUCGAAAGGGCUGCUAAUACCGGAUAAGCCUAUGGCCUCGCAUGGGGCCAUGAGCAAAGGGGAAACCCGCCUUGAGAUGGGCCCGCGUCCCAUCAGCUAGUUGGUGAGGUGAAGGCUCACCAAGGCGACGACGGGUAGCCGGCCUGAGAGGGUGACCGGCCACACUGGGACUGAGACACGGCCCAGACUCCUACGGGGGGCAGCAGUGGGGAAUCUUGCACAAUGGGCGAAAGCCUGAUGCAGCGACGCCGCGUGAGCGAAGAAGGCCUUCGGGUUGUAAAGCUCUGUCUGGAGGGACGAAGGAAGUGACGGUACCUCCGGAGGAAGCCACGGCUAACUACGUG
RNAcentral lists this ribosomal RNA (474 nucleotides) under uncultured bacterium. RNAcentral's name for it is "bacterial SSU rRNA". It matches the Rfam family "Bacterial small subunit ribosomal RNA", at positions 33 to 507 of the family's 1533-position model. The record is from RNAcentral.